This 484-nucleotide ribosomal RNA is filed under the name uncultured bacterium. RNAcentral describes it as "partial 16S ribosomal RNA". It matches the Rfam family "Bacterial small subunit ribosomal RNA", at positions 30 to 507 of the family's 1533-position model. The record is from RNAcentral.
AUUGAACGCUGGCGGCAUGCUUUACACAUGCAAGUCGAACGGCAGCGCGGGCUUCUGCCUGGCUGCGAGUGGCGAACGGGUGAGUAAUGCAUCUGAACGUUCCCAGUAUUGGGGGAUAGCCCGUCUACAGCCGGAUUAAUACCGCAUACGACCUGAUGGUGAAAGCGGGGGACCGAUAGGCCUCGCGCUCUUUGCGCGGCCGAUGUCGGAUUAGCUAGUUGGUGGGGUAAAGGCUUACCAAGGCGACGAUCCGUAGCUGGUCUGAGAGGACGACCAGCCACACUGGGACUGAGACACGGCCCAGACUCCUACGGGAGGCAGCAGUGGGGAAUGUUGGACAAUGGGGGCAACCCUGAUCCAGCCAUGCCGCGUGCGGGAAGAAGGCCUUCGGGUUGUAAAACGCUUUUGUUAGGGAAGAAAUACUGUGGGAUAAUACCCCGGGGGGAUGACGGUACCGGAAGAAUAAGCACCGGCUAACUACGUG